This 396-nucleotide ribosomal RNA is filed under the name uncultured bacterium. RNAcentral's name for it is "partial 16S ribosomal RNA". It matches the Rfam family "Bacterial small subunit ribosomal RNA", at positions 523 to 918 of the family's 1533-position model. The record is from RNAcentral.
AUACGUAGGGAGCGAGCGUUGUCCGGAAUUACUGGGUGUAAAGGGUGCGUAGGCGGGGAUGCAAGUCAGAUGUGAAAUGUAUGGGCUCAACCCAUGAACUGCAUUUGAAACUGCAACUCUUGAGUGAGGUAGAGGUAAGCGGAAUUCCUAGUGUAGCGGUGAAAUGCGUAGAUAUUAGGAGGAACAUCGGUGGCGAAGGCGGCUUACUGGGCCUUUACUGACGCUGAGGCAUGAAAGCGUGGGGAGCAAACAGGAUUAGAUACCCUGGUAGUCCACGUUGUAAACGAUGAUGACUAGGUGUGGGGGGACUGAACCCUUCCGUGCCGCAGUUAACACAAUAAGUCAUCCACCUGGGGAGUACGACCGCAAGGUUGAAACUUAAAGGAAUUGACGGGG